UUUCCGUAGGUGAACCUGCGGAAGGAUCAUUAUUGAAUGAAACACUUCUGGCUAUAUGCUGUUGUGCUGGCCCUUUGGGCAAUGUGCACACGGCUCUGGUCACUUGUUUCUUCUGUUCCACCUGUGCACUGCCUGUAGACACGCUGUGUCUAUGAUAUUUGUUAACACACAACAAUGUUAGUUGGCAUGUUAUAUAUAAUAAUAAAAUAUACAACUUUCAACAACGGAUCUCUUGGCUCUC
RNAcentral lists this unclassified non-coding RNA (241 nucleotides) under plant metagenome. RNAcentral describes it as "partial contains small subunit ribosomal RNA, internal transcribed spacer 1, and 5.8S ribosomal RNA". The record is from RNAcentral.